Molecule: ribosomal RNA, 452 nt
Filed under: Astrothelium megaspermum
Lineage: Eukaryota; Fungi; Ascomycota; Dothideomycetes; Trypetheliales; Trypetheliaceae
Description: eukaryotic LSU rRNA
Rfam family: Eukaryotic large subunit ribosomal RNA
Source: RNAcentral
GUUGUAAUUUGCAGAGGAUGUUAUGGAAUCUGUAUGGACUCAAGUUUUUUGGAAAAAGACGCCAUGGAGAGUGAUAGUCUCGUACUUUCCAGUACAUUUUCCAUGUAUAACUCCUUCAAAGAGUCGAGUUGUUUGGGAAUGCAGCUCUAAGUGGGACGUAAAUUUGUUCCAAAGCUAAAUACCGGCUAGAGACCGAUAGCGCACAAGUAGAGUGAUCGAAAGAUGAAAAGCACUUUGAAAAGAGAGUUAAAAAGCAUGUGAAAUUGUUGAAAGUGAAGCUUAUGUCAUCAGAAAUGGUUUCAUUGUUCAGCAUUUUGGUGUAUUCAAUGGCGACCAGGCUAGCAUCAGUUUGGACAGUUGGAUAAAAGUGUUGGAAAUGUAACUUCUCUGGAAGUGUUAUAGUCCGAUGCAGAAUGCAGCUCGUCCAGACUGAGGACCGCUUUAAGGAUGCU